This 85-nucleotide transfer RNA is filed under the name Phaeodactylibacter sp. RNAcentral describes it as "tRNA-Leu". It matches the Rfam family "tRNA". Rfam says of the family: Transfer RNA (tRNA) molecules are approximately 80 nucleotides in length. Their secondary structure includes four short double-helical elements and three loops (D, anti-codon, and T loops). The record is from RNAcentral. Lineage: Bacteria; Pseudomonadati; Bacteroidota; Saprospiria; Saprospirales; Haliscomenobacteraceae.
ACCCACGUGGCGGAAUUGGUAGACGCGCAAGGUUGAGGGCCUUGUGUCCGAUAAGGACGUGCUGGUUCGACUCCAGUCGUGGGUA